RNAcentral lists this ribosomal RNA (465 nucleotides) under uncultured bacterium. RNAcentral's name for it is "partial 16S ribosomal RNA". It matches the Rfam family "Bacterial small subunit ribosomal RNA", at positions 338 to 795 of the family's 1533-position model. The record is from RNAcentral.
CCUACGGGAGGCAGCAGUAGGGAAUCUUCCACAAUGGGCGAAAGCCUGAUGGAGCACCGCCGCGUGGGUGAAGAAGGUCUUCGGAUCGUAAAACCCUGUUGUUAGAGAAGAAAGUGCGUGAGAGUAACUGUUCACGUUUCGACGGUAUCUAACCAGAAAGCCACGGCUAACUACGUGCCAGCAGCCGCGGUAAUACGUAGGUGGCAAGCGUUAUCCGGAUUUAUUGGGCGUAAGGGGAACGCAGGCGGGCUUUUAAGUCUGAUGUGAAAGCCUUCGGCUUAACCGGAGUAGUGCAUUGGAAACUGGGAGACUGGAGUGCAGAAGAGGAGAGUGGAACUCCAUGUGUAGCGGUGAAAUGCGUAGAUAUAUGGAAGAACACCAGUGGCGAAAGCGGCUCUCUGGUCUGUAACUGACGCUGAGGUUCGAAAGCGUGGGUAGCAAACAGGAUUAGAUACCCUUGUAGUC